This is a long non-coding RNA of Populus nigra (black poplar), 1859 nucleotides long. RefSeq lists it as uncharacterized. The transcript has 2 exons. NCBI's taxonomy places the organism in Eukaryota, Viridiplantae, Streptophyta, Magnoliopsida, Malpighiales, Salicaceae. The record is from RefSeq and is a predicted model, not a curated record.
UAUCUAACCAUGCAUUUCUGCUGUAUUAUCCCACUCUCUAUCUCUCUAAUCGCACACUUCCACAGACUAGUGAGCUACCACGCAUGUAAAAAACCACAGAGCUGUAACUGCAAGUCAAUGCCAAGCUGAUAGUCGUAAGAGUACCUGUAAACCUAACAAAGAUAUUCGCCUAAUCUACAUCUCAACUUGCAGCUUCUAUAUAUAGAGAGUCAUUCACUUUUCCGCCUUCAUCAUUCCUAUUAAUUUCUUCAGCCUAGGGCUGAAAGUCUAUAUUGAUAAUUCUGGGCAUAGUCUGUUUGAUCAUGGCGAAUGGAGAAUGAUCAGGAGACUCCUACAGAUGAUUUGGUCAGAAGCCCGUCUAUAUAUAUAUAUAUAUAUAUAUAUAUAUAUAUAUAUAUAUAUGAUUUAACUGGGUGAGUGGUUUCCACGCUACUCUUGUCAAGUGAACAAUUUCUGGUUGAUUUUCCUUGAUCUCGUUGUCUGUUCGACCUUGAGGUUUUCAAUGCUUGUCUAUCUGCGGAGGAAUAUAUAUAUAUAUGAUCAUAUGUUACAAAAAGUCAAUUUCUUUAUAAACGAAAAAAAUAAAAAAGUGAUUUGAAUGUGAUUAUCUCAUUCGUACUUUUGUUGGACUUUUUUCUUAAUGUUUACUGCUAUUUUUUCUUCUUUUGUUAUUCUGCAUAUUAGAAAAAAAAGAAGGAUGAAACCAUGCAGCUAGUAAUCAUAUUAGAACUUCAAGGAAAAUCCUCAUGAUUUCAACUCAUCCUGUUAUAGAUAAUGAAGAUGUUUGUUUGGUGACAAGAUCAAUAGCUUAAUUGUUGAGCAAUUUCCUCUAUGGUUAUAACCAAAUCGUCCAAGGUCUCUUGUGGCUUGGAGUUGCACUUCGCACAGAAAUCACAAAGCUUGUCGUUUUCAUUCCUUCGAGCAGCUAGGCCCAUGUUCAUGUACAUUGCUCUUUUUCUCUGUAUGUUUUUGUCCUGGAAAUUUCCAUACGAAUAACUUAGCCCCCUGGCUAGAAGAAAGACCCGUUUACUCAUCCAAAAGAUUUAAGGUUUUCCCUUGUUGAGGAUUUAAGGUUUUCUUGCGCACUUUAUUAAUAAGUUUUGUUUCCUUGUUUUUUAUUUAAUAUUCAAUAAACAAGUCUAAUUCAUUAUAGCAGACAAAUUAAAUAAUUAGAACCAUGCCAUAAAUGUAAAGUGUAAUUAUUCAAGUAAACUUCAAGGUCGUACAGACAACGAAUUAAGGCACGUCCAACAGAACUGCUUGCUUGACAAGCCUUUGCGUGGACACCAACACCAAUCUAUUUCGUAGCAAGGUGAAACAUCGCCGGUGACAGAUUUUAUACUUGUAUUUCCUUUUCAAAAGUCUCGGCGGGUAUGCAAAUCUCACCUCUCUCUCUCUCUCUCUCUCUCUCUCUCUCUCUCUCUCUCUCUCUAGCUACCUAGCUGAUCAUUUUCACAAACAUACAGUCAUAUAUAGAUCCAUGAAUAUGAUGAAUAUUAAAUUUCAGAAAUUGGUAUUAUGCAGGUAAGUGGCAUGUGAUGAUCUACGUGUUGAAUCGAUCAAAAUCCCAGUCAAAUUAGUGUCAGUUUGAGACCAUGAAUGAUGGAGAACGAAUUACAGCAAUGAAAAUGGGUUUUUAUCUAUGUAGGAAUUUAAUAUUGUAUGGCUACUAAUUAUUUAUUUGGAACGAAUCUAAUAAUCUAACUCCAGUACUAUAAUCGAUCACGUAGCUUUUUUGUCCAAAACAUGGCUCCUUUUGCCACCAAACCAUGGUACUCAAGUUGUUCUCUCGUGUUUGAUAUUUUCUUUUAAUUCUGACUUUUUUAUGAAAAAAAAAACCCUAGAUGGAUUUCAAGGUA